CCCUUCUCUAACCUGCUUCAGAGUAAUUGAUAUCGUUAUCAAGCUAGCGACUGGAAAUCCACCAAGACGAAGAAGGUAGCUCACUAUACCCAAGUCUCCAUAACAGUUCCAGGUGAGAGCAGACUUUUCUGUUUAUUUUAACUGUAUGUUUAUUUCGACUUACAGUUAACGACUGGUUGCGUGAAAGCGAGGAAAACAGCCGUUGAGUUUUCAAGGUGUCUUGUGUCCAUAUACUUCUGUUUGGGAUAUUUAUACACACUUAGGCCCUGUCGUGUCUCACUGCAGAACAUGGUGUCCUCUGUAUAUGAGAAUGGACACCGAAACCCCACCAGACAUUAGUUAAGCCUGUCUCAGUAUAAAAAGCAGCUUGUUGGAUCUCUCGUGGAAUCCUGUAUGUGUUUAUUUAGUAACACUGGAAUGAAUGAGGUAGAAACGUGUGAAAGUACUCUGCACCUUUAUCACCUAGGUGUAUUAGUUGAGUGUUUAUGUAAGCUAAAGAGUUAGGAAUACAGAUAUGUAUUUGUGGACGUACUGUCUUCUGCUUACACUCCACAGUUGAAGGGUAGAACAUGUUGAGGUGAUUGAAAUGGAGGCCAAGACGAUGUAAGUUACAGAGGGAAGGGAAUUCCUGGGGGGGGAAAGCAGCUGUUUAUGGAGGUUAAGUGAAAUACAGGAAUCAGAUAUUGACUAAGACGAAAGUUUAAAAAAAAUAAUAAUAAAAAAGAAAUGGAGUGUGGAGAAACUUUGGUGGCAGACCUGGAGCUGGACCCAGACAUUGUAAGCGAGGAGGCGGGAAAAUUGUACUCUGAACUCCAGGUAAUCAGUCACAAUGCUACACAUUCAUGUCACAUACCAGACUAAGCUGAGAUGUCCAACAACCAAAGCCUGUAAUUAUGAAAGCAUGAAAUGGAUGAAUGCUUUGCUAAGUACUGUAUUAAGUAUUCACACAUCAUUGCUUUGCCAUCUUUUCAUAAAGGAAGUGAAAUGUAGCUUUGUGCCAUUAAAGAGUCCCUGAUGUAGUGAACUGCACUUCCUGUCCUUACGGCUGUGCAUGAAGAUAAGAAAUUCAAACUAGGCAAAAUAUAUAUAUAUCUCAUCAUGUGCUGUAAAUAAGGAUAUGUCGCACAGCACCUUGUGUUUCCUCAUAUUUUUCUAUAUAUAUUUAAAAUGUGUGUAUAUAUAUAUA
Molecule: long non-coding RNA, 1186 nt
Organism: Ictalurus punctatus (channel catfish)
Lineage: Eukaryota; Metazoa; Chordata; Actinopteri; Siluriformes; Ictaluridae
Source: Ensembl